Molecule: long non-coding RNA, 1367 nt
Filed under: Triticum aestivum (bread wheat)
Lineage: Eukaryota; Viridiplantae; Streptophyta; Magnoliopsida; Poales; Poaceae
Description: long non-coding RNA (TAES_LNC011818)
Source: RNAcentral
AUAUAAAAAGCAAGACAACAUUAGAUCUGGAAGUUCACGACAAAGUGGGAAAUAUAUUCUAUGUUCCAAAAGUAAACCAAGAUGAUGGAUCGUCACUAAGUAGAUACAAUAGUUAGGUUAUUAGAUAGCCAAAGCAUGAAUCGUCACUAAGUACAUCCAAUAGUUGUGUUAUUACAUGGCCAAAGCAAGCCAGAGUGGCGGUGCGAGAUAAGUCCAACCAAACACUCACAAAGAACCUAUAUAGUUCUGCUGAAGCCUAAUAUUUGAUGGCUUCACUUGGUCGUAUCGUUGACUAACUCCUCACAUGCCAUGUCAUAUGAACCUGUUGUGAUCAUAUUGUUUAGCCGAUGAAAUCACAGGGAACAUUUGAUGGAUAGUAUGAUGACAACCUUGUAACCGACCAUGUCAAAGCAGGUAGACAGUGAGCAACAGUUUGCUCCUUGUAGCAUUGUACACAGAAGACACAUAUCUGACAUUCUCCAAUCUCUGCUUUCUUCACAAGUCUGACCAAUUAGUUGUUAUGGUGGCUCUUCCAUGAACUCCCUUUAUAAGUUGGACAUGCUCCUUAGCUCACCCACAUGCAAGUUUAAUCCACAUGUCCUAGAUUGAUGGUUUGAGUUAUUUGUAAGGUAUUUCCUUGUGAAUGGAACUGAGAAAUACUGGAAGCAGGGACGAUAAGAUUCGUGAUCAUUGAUAAUUGAAGUUCAUUUGCGUCAAGGAAAAUGUGUAGAGAGCUCUCACCAUCCUUUGACAGGGAGCGGUGAAGGUCUUGUUCAUCUCAUAUAUGUAAUACCUGAUGGCAGGCUUGUUUGAACCAACAAAAUGCUUGAGUCAACCAAGUUCGCAUGGAGACAUUUUUAGCUUCUUUGCAUAGAAAAUAUCCAAGGUCUGUACCAUAGUGGACACGCGGUCCUGCGUAUCAAGCAUAAGAAUUUAGCAUUAGAGAAGUGAGAAAUAUGGGUUUCAACAGACAUAAAAUAGUAAAAAUGCAACUGCUUCAAGGUGGAAAUGUAUUAAAUAAUUUAUUUCUGUGAUGUAACAUCUAAAAUGAUUUUGGAUCUUACCAAAGCUCAGUUUCUCGGUUACACAAGCCUGAUCACCUAGUUGUGCACUAAGCAAAUAUAUAAAACAAAGUUGUAUCUGGUAAAGGAAAAGUGCAAAUGUACAGACAAACAUUUAGCUGAUAUAAAAGGAAAAUGUAGGCACCUCUUUGGAGACAUGGGGAACAAUUAACAAUAGCAUUGAUGAUAGCAUCACCCAUGUAAAACACCCAUAAGGCAACUUCCCAUGUAUGUGAUCACUGCAGUUGUUUCUUCAUCAUCCAGGAGCCCAGCAUCGCCACUUUCUCUAGUUAUUUUAAAUUUAAG